Molecule: ribosomal RNA, 483 nt
Filed under: uncultured bacterium
Lineage: Bacteria
Description: partial 16S ribosomal RNA
Rfam family: Bacterial small subunit ribosomal RNA
Source: RNAcentral
AUUGAACGCUGGCGGCAUGCCUUACACAUGCAAGUCGAACGGUAACAGGUCUUCGGAUGCUGACGAGUGGCGAACGGGUGAGUAAUACAUCGGAACGUGCCCGAUCGUGGGGGAUAACUGAGCGACAUCUUUGCUAAUACCGCAUACGAUCUACGGAUGCCAGCCGGGGACCGCAAGGCCUUGCGCGGACGGAGCGGCCGAUGGCAGAUUAGGUAGUUGGUGGGAUCAAAGCUUACCAAGCCGACGAUCUGUAGCUGGUCUGAGAGGACGACCAGCCACACUGGGACUGAGACACGGCCCAGACGCCUACGGGAGGCAGCAGUGGGGAAUUUUGGACAAUGGGCGAAAGCCUGAUACAGCCAUGCCGAGUGCAGGAGGAAGGCCUUCGGGUUGUAAACUGCUUUUGUACGGAACGAAAAGACUCUUUCUAAUAAAGAGGGUCCAUGACGGUACCGUAAGAAUAAGCACCGGCUAACUACGUGC